This 269-nucleotide ribosomal RNA is filed under the name uncultured bacterium. RNAcentral's name for it is "partial small subunit ribosomal RNA". It matches the Rfam family "Bacterial small subunit ribosomal RNA", at positions 26 to 284 of the family's 1533-position model. The record is from RNAcentral.
AGAACGAACGCUGGCGGCGCGCCUAACACAUGCAAGUCGAGCGAGAAUCCGGGGCAACCCGGUAGUAAAGUGGCAAACGGGUGAGGAAUACAUGGGUAACCUACCCUUGAGAAGGGAAUAACCCGCCGAAAGGUGAGCUAAUACCCUAUACGCUAUCAUUUUUUUCGAAAAGGAUAGGAAAGCCAGGUCGAGGACCUGGUACUCAAGGAGGGGCUCGAUGUCCUAUCAGCUUGUUGGUGGGGUAACGGCCUACCAAGGCGACGACGGGU